Molecule: non-coding RNA, 99 nt
Organism: Acanthosepion pharaonis
Lineage: Eukaryota; Metazoa; Mollusca; Cephalopoda; Sepiida; Sepiidae
Source: the annotation of a GenBank genome assembly
GUUAAAACACCCGCUCCUGUAAGAUCACGGAAGUUAAGCAACGUUGAGCUUGGUCUGUACCUAGUUGGCUGUCUACUAGGGAAUACCAGGUGCUGUAAG